This 495-nucleotide ribosomal RNA is filed under the name uncultured bacterium. Its description in RNAcentral is "bacterial SSU rRNA". It matches the Rfam family "Bacterial small subunit ribosomal RNA", at positions 903 to 1397 of the family's 1533-position model. The record is from RNAcentral.
AAAGGAAUAGACGGGGGCCCGCACAAGCGGUGGAGCAUGUGGUUCAAUUCGAUGAUACGCGAGGAACCUUACCUGGGUUUGACAUGUAGACUGAUAAGGUAGAGAUAUUUUAGCGUAGCAAUACGAGUCUACACAGGUGCUGCAUGGCUGUCGUCAGCUCGUGCCGUGAGGUGUUGGGUUAAGUCCCGCAACGAGCGCAACCCUUGCCGUCAGUUGCCAGCAGGUAAAGCUGGGGACUCUGGCGGGACAGCCGUCGAAAGACGGAGGAAGGUGGGGACGACGUCAAGUCAUCAUGGCCCUUAUGUCCAGGGCAACACACGUGCUACAAUGGUAGACACAGAGAGGAGCGGUACCGCGAGGUAUAGCAGAACUAAGAAAGUCUAUCUAAGUCCGGAUCGGAGUCUGAAACUCGACUCCGUGAAGUUGGAAUCGCUAGUAAUCGCACAUCAGCACGGUGCGGUGAAUACGUUCCCGGGCCUUGUACACACCGCCCGU